This 430-nucleotide long non-coding RNA is filed under the name Sarcophilus harrisii (Tasmanian devil). Its description in RNAcentral is "lncRNA (ENSSHAG00000021742.1)". The record is from RNAcentral. Lineage: Eukaryota; Metazoa; Chordata; Mammalia; Dasyuromorphia; Dasyuridae.
GAGAGCCAGAAGGAAAGAGAGGAGGCCGGCCCGGGGACGGAUAGGAGGGUGGGCUCCCUAAGAGUACAUCUGGCCUUCCAGUUUUUCCACUUUGGUGACUUCUACAUCCAUUCUUCCUCAGCCAUGCAUAGAAGUCAUAUUAUGAACUCCUUGAGGAUAGAGCCUGGUCUUUUAACAUCUCUAGCACAGAGCAUACUGCCUAGCACUUUGUUGUGCAGUCCUUCGGUUAUAGUAGACUCUUCACGACCCUAUGGACCCCAGUGCUAUCUAUGCGGUUUUCUUAACAAAGAUACUACAGUGGUUUGUCUUUUUUUUCUCCAGUGGGUUAAGACAAACAGAAAUUAAGUAUCUGGCCUAGAAUCACACAGCAAGGUCCCAUUUGAAUUCAGGUCUUGAAAACUACAGACCCAGUACUCUGUCCACUGAACCA